ACGAUAAUCCACGCUACUACUUACCUUCGUUUGUCUAGUUUGUAUACCUCCGUCCAGUUAAUCUCUAAGAGAAUUAGCCCCAAGAAUACCUCUAUGUCAGGUCAAGGUGCAGCUAACACCAAGGAAGCUGAUGGGCUACAUUAAUACUUUAAUGAAAUUCAACUUUAAAAAGAAGAAGGAAAUUGUACUUGGAAGUAAUUCAACUUUAAAAUAGAAGAAUGAAAUCACUUUUAGAAGAUGCACAAAUCGCCCGUCAAU
This 258-nucleotide ribosomal RNA is filed under the name Hippomenella vellicata. RNAcentral's name for it is "partial 12S ribosomal RNA". The record is from RNAcentral. Lineage: Eukaryota; Metazoa; Bryozoa; Gymnolaemata; Cheilostomatida; Escharinidae.